RNAcentral lists this unclassified non-coding RNA (400 nucleotides) under soil metagenome. RNAcentral's name for it is "partial contains 5.8S ribosomal RNA, internal transcribed spacer 2, and large subunit ribosomal RNA". The stretch from base 1 to 122 matches the Rfam family "5.8S ribosomal RNA", at positions 35 to 154 of the family's 154-position model. The record is from RNAcentral.
GAUGAAGAACGCAGCGAAAUGCGAUACUUGGUGUGAAUUGCAGAAUCCCGUGAACCAUCGAGUCUUUGAACGCAAGUUGCGCCUCAAGCCAUUAGGUUGAGGGCACGUCUGCCUGGGCGUCACAUAUCGUUGCCUGAUGCCAGUUUCCUCGUGAUGGGUGACUGUGCAGGGCGAAUGAUGGCUUCCCGUGAGCAUUGUUGCCUCAUGGUUGGUUGAAAAUUGAGUCCUUGGUAGGGAGCGCCGUGAUAGAUGGUGGUUGAGUGACGAACGAGACCCAAUCAUGUGAGACCCCUACCGAAUUUGGCCUUCAUGACCCACAUGCGUCUUUGGAACGCUCAUGACGAGACCUAAGGUCAGGCGGGGCUACCCGCUGAGUUUAAGCAUAUCAAUAAGCGGAGGA